CGCACUUGAAUCUCGAACCGAAUCGACUAAAUUACGAAUACCGAAUUCUCAUUCCCUCUGGCGAAGAAAUGUGCUCCAAUCUAGCCAUAAUCAAUUGCCCAAUCCGAGUUCACACUCAACCCAUGAAUUUCGAUUUAAUCCUCCUACCGAUCCAAAACUUCAAAGUUAUACUAGGCAUGGAUUGGUUAACCAAAUUCAAAGCCCAAAUCGAUUGUGCCUCAAAAACGGUUAUCUUUCCCC
RNAcentral lists this long non-coding RNA (240 nucleotides) under Erythranthe guttata (spotted monkey flower). RNAcentral describes it as "long non-coding RNA (EGUT_LNC001617)". Lineage: Eukaryota; Viridiplantae; Streptophyta; Magnoliopsida; Lamiales; Phrymaceae. The record is from RNAcentral.